GUUUCAUUCACUGGUGUCAGGAUGAUUCUUCCCAACAUAGGAGCGCUAGCUGUGGUGUGCUGGAUAAUGUGUGUGAGAAACACAGCAUCUCAGGCAUAUGCUCCAGCCCCUACAUUCGGCUAUCGAUUCAGAAUAAAUGAAAGUAAUAUUGAGCUAAACUCUAUAGUAGAGGUUGCUUGUGGCACCACUUGGAGUGCUCCGUAUCCCAUAACUGUGUCUGUGGGCAAGUUGGAAAGCCCCUCGCAGACCCCAGAAACCACAGAAGCCUGGGUGACAUCUGAGGUCAUCAGUCGAUCAGAUACAAUAUAUUUCACAAUCCCUGCGACGGCCAAGUAUGAAGGAAAGAUUGUGUGCUGGUACAAAUCCACUCGAACUGACUCAAAGAAUCCAUAUUCUGAAUUAAGCAGCCCUAUUACCUUAGUCGUAUCUGCCCUCUCUGAUCCCAAAGUGACUGUGUACCCCUAUCUUUUUCGUAAGGGUGAAAAUUACACUGUACAGUGUGAAUCAGCCUAUAACCUAGCCACAAACUUCACAUUGAGUCUGUAUUACCGCAUCCUCCCUGUCAGCCCUGGCACCAACUGGACCUUCGCUGGUUCACUGUUUCUCACAAAUCACACUAGUAUCGUUUUAAGACAGACGAAUGCCGUUGUCCCAAUAGAGUUUGCCUGCAGUAUGGAGAUGUUGUACAAUGGAAAAGUCUUACAUUCAUCUCUGUCCAAAAGUGAGCAAGCCAUCCCAGAAGAGCUUCCGGUUCGGCUCUGGGAGCAGGAACGUGGAGAGAGCUGCCUAGGAUAUCUGGAUGUCACUCUCAAAGGCAAGUGGGAACCUGUUUGUCAGAAGGAAGUCGAUACUGAAGCCGAUUCAUCUACUGCUGCUGCCACGGCUGAAGUGGUGUGUAGGGAACUGGGAUGUGGGCAUGUGCUGAAGUGGGAAAGGCUUUUGGAUGACAGACGACAGUUCACACAGACAGUUGGGGGUAUCCGAUGCAUUGGGAAAGAAAAAAAGAUCAAAGAUUGUCCAAUGGAGGAAAUUGAAGCCUGCAAACAGAGAGGCAUGCUCUAUAUUAUUUGCUCAGAUGCAUUGCCCCGUCCUAAACUGUAUGUGGAUACGUAUGGCCCUAACCCCAAACUGUAUGUCAGGGACAAAGAAAAUGUGAAAAUCUCCUGCUCCAUCGACUCCGCUUAUUUAAAAUCAAACGACUAUGGGUACUUAGAGUUUAGAAGGGACGGUGCUUAUUUGAGUCAAAGUUACAGCACACCAGGCUUCCCCGAGUCUAUCACACAGUAUGCCCCAGUGCCUCAAGGAGAGUAUGAAUGUGUAUUCCAUCUUACGUCUUCAAAAAUGAAACUAACGUCUCAGCCCAGCAAUUCAGUCUUCAUUUACAUAUACAAUCCAGUGCCAAUUGUUGCAGGUGUUCUCACAACUGCUCUUGGGUUAGCAAUUCUGGUGUAUAUCUGUAAAUACAGAACCGCGGCACAAGAGGUACAGCCCAAUGAAUUUCCACAGACCAAUGCUGAAAAUCCAGAUAACAAUGCCAGCUACCCACCUCAACAACUGCAAGCCAAAGAAAUUUAAUCUGUUUAAAUUCUUCCCAACAACCUUCCACAGUAAAUAUAAUGUUUGAUAAAUAUUGAAAAAGGCCAAAAGGUGAAUUAAUUUUGCAAUGCGGUUGUACUGAAAAUGUUCAUGAGAAGAGAAUAUUUAGAUAUCAAAGGUAAUGCAACUAAAAUUGUAUGAUGAAAAUUAACUAACCUACUGUAGU
Long non-coding RNA from Sinocyclocheilus grahami, 1762 nucleotides. Ensembl lists it as uncharacterized. NCBI's taxonomy places the organism in Eukaryota, Metazoa, Chordata, Actinopteri, Cypriniformes, Cyprinidae. The record is from Ensembl.